ACAUCCACCAUGCUGCUGUCUGUGCUUCUGCUGCUGCUGCUCAGCAGCACACAAGCUACUCACUUUUUGGGCACAGUGAUGACCUACUACCCAAAACAAACCCAUGCAGAUGGAUCCGUGACGGUGUUUGUACGUUACAAGCUAAACUUCCACUCGUGCUCCUACUCUGACACAUGGUAUUGCAGCGGUUCUUGUGGGAGUUCGGCUGUCACACUAGAAGAGGUUGACCUGGAAGCAAGUGGAGAGUGGUGUCAGCAAGAGGGAUUAAUGACUCCGGUUAUUUUUCCAUACUUUUACACCCAGUUUAGGCUGUCGGGUG
Molecule: long non-coding RNA, 319 nt
Organism: Fundulus heteroclitus (mummichog)
Lineage: Eukaryota; Metazoa; Chordata; Actinopteri; Cyprinodontiformes; Fundulidae
Exons: 3
Source: RefSeq, a predicted model, not a curated record